GACGAACGCUGGCGGCGGGCUUAACACAUGCAAGUCGAACGGAAAGGCCCUGCGUUCUUGGUGUGCCCGAGUGGCGAACGGGUGAGUAACACGUGAGUAACCGGCCCUUGACUUUGGGAUAACUUCACGAAACUGGGGCUAAUACCGGAUAGGAUCUCCUGCUGCAGUGUGGGGGUUGGAAAUUUUCGGCUGUUGGGGAUGGACUCGCGGCUUAUCAGCUUGUUGGUUGGGUAGGGGCUUACCAAGGCUGUGACGGGUAGCCGGCCUGAGAGGGUGACCGGCCACAUUGGGACUGAGAUACGGCCCAGACUCGUACGGGAGGCAGCAGUGGGGAAUAUUGCACAAUGGGAGGACGCCUGAUGCAGCAACGCCGCGUGCGGGAUGACGGCCUUCGGGUUGUAAACCGCUUUCGCCUGUGACGAAGCGUGAGUGACGGUACUGGGUAAAGAAGCACCGGCUAACUACGUG
Molecule: ribosomal RNA, 468 nt
Filed under: uncultured bacterium
Lineage: Bacteria
Description: partial 16S ribosomal RNA
Rfam family: Bacterial small subunit ribosomal RNA
Source: RNAcentral